RNAcentral lists this non-coding RNA (29 nucleotides) under Rattus norvegicus (Norway rat). The record is from RNAcentral. Lineage: Eukaryota; Metazoa; Chordata; Mammalia; Rodentia; Muridae.
UAGGUGUUAAGCUAUGGCUUCACAUCUGU